UUAAAGUCUAGAAAGUCUUUAAUAGAUCCAUUUUAUAGGGAGCAGCACAUAUUUGCUACCUAGUGCUAUGUAACAAACUACCCUGUAAGUUAGCCCCUUAAAAUGACACAUAUUUAGAUUCUCAUGGGGUUCUGAAGGUUGUGGGUGUCUUUAGUUUUGGGAUCCUGUGAAGUAAUGGUUACUUUGCUGUCAACUAGGGUAGUAGAAAAUAAAAACCUAUAGAGUCGUCUUCCAGCUCUCUCAUGUAGCUGUUGGCAGACCUCAGUUCUUCACCACAGGGCCUCUCUGCAGGCUUCUAGAGUGCCCUGGAAAUGUGGCAGAUGGCUUUCCCCAAAACAAGCUAUAAGAGGAAGGAAAGGGCGGAGAUGGAUGGAAACAGGGUAGGGGGUAGAAAGGGGAGGAUAAAAGGAGGAGGGAAAGAGAGGGUGUGCAAGAGAGUCCCAAAGAUGGAAGUGAUUUUUAAUUUACAUGUAACUCUUUACUUAUAAAUCUUUUAUAAGCUAAGAUUACAUCUAAGCUACAUACAUCAUGGAUCUCAUAUUUCAUCAUCCCCAUAGGCCAGCUAUGGGACACUAUGGAGGAGUCAACAAACAACAAAUGGGUACCAGAGCAGAGUUUAGGUGGCUGUAUUUGAAAGCUGCCUGUCGUGUAUUUUGUUCAGGUACUUCUGAAUGUAGCAGUGAGAUAAUACCCUAGCCAUUUUCUGAUCUCCCCUUCUAUUCUUUCAGCCAGUUGUAAGGAAAGUUGUGUUACUUAUAUGAUUAAAACUAGCAGAUAUGUUAAUAUUUUAGAAUAGAUGUUCUUGGAUCUAUCUAGCCCAGGUGUACAUGUGAUCUCAUACACAUGUGGGUAGAGACUACCAGAAGAUGACCUCAUUAUUCAUUAGUCACUAGCCAUCUUGAUGUUUGAUGUAUAGUAGCUCAUGAGCCUUAAUCUGUCCAAAUAGGUGAGGCUGGGUGGCCAGCAAGCCCCAGUGACCCACCUGUCCCUACCUCCCCACAGUGUAUAUUACAAAUAUAUACAGUGCCACAUUUAGCUUUUCUUACAUGGGCUCUGGGGAUUGAACUCUUACUCAGUUGCUGGUAAAACAAGCAUUUUGCAAAUGAGCUCUUGCCUCAACUGGGCAGCUUGAGAUUUGAAUUCUAUGUCUCUUGAUGUCCUUGUGUGCUGGAGACAAGGGAACUUUUGUGUUACUGGUAGUGCAUGGCACAUUGGGUUGCUGCUAGGGUCUAGUACCUGUGCUUAUGGCAAGCUAAUAGAAGAAUGUUAAACACAGGGUACAAAGGAUUGUCAAUCAUUGUAUGAUGAUCACCCCAUAGUCAAUCCACAUUGAAGAAAUGUGAAAUUCCUGCAGAUAAUCAGAAAAAGGCAGAAAACCCCUGAAUAUACAUUCUAUUUACCAUUACUUGAAACUUCUUUUGAAGUCACAUCAAGUGGUUGAUACACAGAAAGAUGGAAAAUUGGCCAUUGUGGUUCCAUGGCUUGUUUGUGUGAGCUUGUACAUUCCAUCUCGCAUCCACAAUCCAUCCUCACAGUACUACUACCAUGAUGUAGUCUUUCUACAUUAGUGUGUACCCCUGUGAGCACUUAUCUUGCAUCCAUAGUGUAUUAUCACAUAGUGCCACCACCCUGCAGCCUUUCCAUUACGCUCUCUAUAGACAACCAGGAAGCGACUUCCAGAGGCAAAUGGCUGAUGCCUGAAUUCCACUGCUGUUUUGAUAAGUUCACUUUGAGCAGAUUUUUCAUGUCUUCCCUAUUUAUAUCUUUUCAAAUCCAAUCUCCUUCAAUCAAUUUUAAUCCUCUAAUGUGUUUGCUAUAAGUACUGUACAAUUCACUUGUCCUCAAUAAUAAAAUUCAUUUUGGUGCGGCCAGACUGUAAUUUGUUUGAGAAGGAGUCCUUAGGAAGCCCUUACGUUCUCUUCUGAUUUAGAGGGCAACCUUCAGUGUGGGAAGAAUUGUGUUGUCAUGUGCUUGAAGUAUUCUUUCAUGACUGACAGUGCUGUUUAAAUAAUGGACGGCCAAGCCUUGUGCUUAAAUGAAAUCUGACUACACUAAUUCUGUUCUAUAUUAGGGAACUUCAAGAGUUCUGCAAGGACACGAUUUCAUUGACAGUGGAUUUAUUUUUUUCAGUUUGUGCAAAUUAUCCCCAUGGUGCCUCAUACCUCCUCCACCGAAACAUACAUUUAUUCCCUAAUAUUGAAUAUUUUUAUUGCUUUAAUUCUCAUGGUACUGUGAGCCAACAAGAAUUGAACAGAAAGCCUUUCUGCGUACAGGUUAAAAUAUAAAUUCAGUGGAGCAGAGGUAAGAAGGUUCAGUAAAUAAUGGUCCUUGCCACUAGUGUUGAUGACCUGAGCAGAAUUGACCCUCACAAGUGUUCUCUGACCUCUACAUACAUGCUGGAACAUGUCCUCCCCAACCACAAGUAAACAAAUAAAUGUAAGCAAAAAGUACAUUAAAUAGGGUGUUAUUAUACAGAGUCCAGAUAUUUAUAACUAGUGUGGGUGGGUAGAUAUGUAAUCUUUGCAUACAUGAGGGGCAACCAGGGGAUCAAGGGCAGCUUUCUCUACCUAGUAUGAUCCUCUUUCCGACAUGCAGACAAAUGAAUGGAUUCAUUGAAUUGAGUUU
Molecule: long non-coding RNA, 2625 nt
Filed under: Mus musculus (house mouse)
Lineage: Eukaryota; Metazoa; Chordata; Mammalia; Rodentia; Muridae
Description: long non-coding RNA chr16:6424647-6427272
Source: RNAcentral